CAACCCGACGUAUUGCAUGCAAACCCAACCUUCAUGCCUGCUGCAUACACAACCAAGCAACUAAGCAACUACUGGCCUAUGAGUCCACAACAUUGUAGCCUCCCUUGCCAUUUCCUGCUCUCCUCAGCAAACCCUUGCCCCCCUUGACCUCUCUUGCUCUCUUCUGCCAUCCCUUGCUCUCCUCUGUCCUCCUCUGCCAUCCCUUGUGUUCCUCUGUUCUCCUCUGCCAUACCUUGCCCUCCCUUGGCCUCUCAUGCCCUCCUCUGCCGCCCCUUGCUCUCCACUUUCCUCCUCUGCCGUCUCUUGCUCUCCACUUUCCUCCUCUGCCCUCCCUUGCCCUCCCUUGCCCUCCCUUGUCCUCCCUUGCCCUCCCUUGCCCUCCCUUGCCCUCCCUUGCCCUCCCUUGCCCUCCCUUGCCCUCCCUUGCCCUCCCUUGCCCUCCCUUGCCCUCCCUUGCCCUCCCUUGCCCUCUCUUGCCCUUUCUUGCCCUCCCUUGCCCUCCCUUGCCCUCC
RNAcentral lists this long non-coding RNA (512 nucleotides) under Volvox carteri. RNAcentral describes it as "long non-coding RNA (VCAR_LNC000710)". Lineage: Eukaryota; Viridiplantae; Chlorophyta; Chlorophyceae; Chlamydomonadales; Volvocaceae. The record is from RNAcentral.